This 87-nucleotide ribosomal RNA is filed under the name Pedobacter sp. SG908. Lineage: Bacteria; Pseudomonadati; Bacteroidota; Sphingobacteriia; Sphingobacteriales; Sphingobacteriaceae. RNAcentral also lists the same sequence under 1 other name. The record is from RNAcentral.
ACCUCUUCCCAUUCCGAACAGAGAAGUUAAGCCCACCAGAGCCGAUGGUACUGCGGUAACACGUGGGAGAGUAGGUCGGUGCCAAAU